This 186-nucleotide ribosomal RNA is filed under the name uncultured bacterium. Its description in RNAcentral is "partial 16S ribosomal RNA". It matches the Rfam family "Bacterial small subunit ribosomal RNA", at positions 1315 to 1500 of the family's 1533-position model. The record is from RNAcentral.
CCUGCAUGAAGUCGGAAUUGCUAGUAAUCGCAGAUCAGCAUGCUGCGGUGAAUACGUUCCCGGGCCUUGUACACACCGCCCGUCACACCAUGGGAGUCGGUAACACCCGAAGCCUGUAGUCUAACCGCAAGGAGGACGCAGUCGAAGGUGGGAUUGAUGACUGGGGUGAAGUCGUAACAAGGUAAC